RNAcentral lists this ribosomal RNA (261 nucleotides) under uncultured bacterium. Its description in RNAcentral is "partial 16S ribosomal RNA". It matches the Rfam family "Bacterial small subunit ribosomal RNA", at positions 1242 to 1500 of the family's 1533-position model. The record is from RNAcentral.
CGAAGUCGCAAACUCGCGAGAGUAAGCCAAUCUCUUAAAGCCGUUCUCAGUUCGGACUGUAGGCUGCAACUCGCCUACACGAAGUCGGAAUCGCUAGUAAUCGCGGAUCAGCAUGCCGCGGUGAAUACGUUCCCGGGCCUUGUACACACCGCCCGUCACACCAUGGGAGUCUGUAACACCCAAAGCCGGUGGGAUAACCUUUAUAGGAGUCAGCCGUCUAAGGUAGGACAGAUGAUUAGGGUGAAGUCGUAACAAGGUAUC